CAAAGGUUUGGUCCUGGCCUUCUUAUUAGCUAUUAGUAGACUUAUACAUGCAAGUAUCAGCACACCAGUGAGAAUGCCCUUUAAUUCCAUGAGACUAAAAGGCGCGGGUAUCAAGCGCACAAACGUAGCUCAAGACACCUUGCUCAGCCACGCCCCCACGGGAUACAGCAGUAACAAAAAUUAAGCCAUGAACGAAAGUUUGACUUAGUUAUACUUCUCAGAGUUGGUUAAUUUCGUGCCAGCCACCGCGGUCAUACGAAUAACUCAAGCUAAUAAGUUUCGGCGUAAAGCGUGAUUAGGAGAAUAUUAAUAAUAGAAUUAAACCUUUUCUAUGCUGUAGAAAGCUAAAGAAAUGAUCGAAAUAAACUACGAAAGUGAUCCUAUUGCUUCUGAACUCACGAUAGCUAGGGGACAAACUGGGAUUAGAUACCCCACUAUGCCUAGCCCUAAACUUUGGUAAUCAAAAACAAGAUUACCCGCCAGAGAACUACUAGCCAACGCUUAAAACUUAAAGGACUUGGCGGUGCUUCAAACCCACCUAGAGGAGCCUGUUAUGUAAUCGAUGAACCCCGAUAUACCCCACCAUCAUUUGCUAAGUCAGUCUAUAUACCGCCAUCUUCAGCAAACCCUGAAAAGGUAAAACAGUAAGCCUAAUCAUCAACCCAUAAAAACGUUAGGUCAAGGUGUAACCAAUAUGAUGGAAUCUAAUGGGCUACAUUUUCUCCACCCAGAAUAGUCUUAACGAAGGCCUUUAUGAAAUCUAAAGGAUAAAGGAGGAUUUAGCAGUAAACUGAGAAUAGAGUGCUCAAUUGAAACUGGCCAUGAAGUACGCACACACCGCCCGUCACCCUCCUCAACCUCAACUACAAUGUUUUAUAUAUAAGCUCAAACAUUACCAGAAUUUAGAGGAGACAAGUCGUAACAAGGUAAGCAUACUGGAAAGUGUGCUUGGAGAACUC
Molecule: non-coding RNA, 959 nt
Filed under: Microgale jenkinsae (Jenkins' shrew tenrec)
Lineage: Eukaryota; Metazoa; Chordata; Mammalia; Afrosoricida; Tenrecidae
Description: partial 12S ribosomal RNA
Rfam family: Bacterial small subunit ribosomal RNA
Source: RNAcentral